AAUAAGCAACAAGAAUUGUAUUCUCAAAAGUGUGGAGUCUUGUAGGGUAAUGUUGUAAUUUCGCUGUCAUUCAAGCAUUUACUGUUACUUUUCUGUGACACGUGUACUAACACGUGUACGGCUAUUCUAUUCUAUUCUAUCCCAGCCUAAAUGGUCAUCUAAGCGCAUUACCUCAUUAUUUCACUUCUCUCCUUCCUCUCUUUCAUUACUUAGCAGUUUCUAAAAAUCUUCUAUAUCUCCAUGAUGCUGAGUAUUUCUGCAAAUUUUCUUCGCUCAUUCCACUUUUUUGAAUAUAUGUUAGUUUCAGCUCUCAGUUCUGGUAAGUUUUUCUCCAAUCUAUUUUUGCUUAUUGCCUUUUUUCUGAUAAUUUCGUGCUAGAUUCUAGAAUUUAUAUGAGUCUAAGUAAUUGUAUCUAAUCUUCACAUGCAUGUCUAAAACUAGAUACCUUGAUGAAUGUCAGUGUAUGAUUUUGGAUAAUUAUUAUCUGAUGUCUUUCGAUUAAUUCUCUUUUGGUGCAAAUUAGCUACUCCAAAUUCCAAAAUGGAACCAUCGCAUAAAAGUCUAAAGUAUCAAAAGUAUGGUUUUGUUUGCAAAGUCAGCCCACCCAAGGUUUUGUCUUGAUCUCCAGUGUGAGUACAUGCCUCUUUCCGUUUAUUUUUCUUUAAAAUUUGUUUCCUUCCAACAUUUCUCGAACCGCCACCUCGAAAGAGGGAGAAUCGGUCAUCUAUGGUUAGUAGUGUAUUUGCUUCACCAGCUUGUGUUUCAAUCUCUUCUAAAGGAAAAAAAUAGAAGACAAUAUCACACCUAUAUAUUUUAAUAUUUUUCAGUCACUUGUCUUCCUUUUUCUGUUUUUGUUUAAUGUGAACAUAAAUAAUACUAUAGUUGUUGAAGUGGAUUAUGCAUCCAAGGUGUUUGAUGAUAUGUCUAACUCAUUUUAAUUGGAGUAAUGGAAUUCACAAAUCUUAUUUUGAUUAUUUUCAGGUGAAAGCAGAUGUGACAGAGGGAUCAACUGAAAUAACCAACGCCCUAAGUGACGAUUCAGGUGUAUUUAAUCUGUGAUUGAAGGUCUGCAGCCUUCACAGGAUUGCUGGCACCAUGGAAGGUUAGUCAACUUCGGUCCACAAAAUAGUAGUCUUUGUCAGAUCCGUCACAAUUGAUCUUUGUUAGGGUCAGCAAUAUGAGAUGAUUAUAUGAUAAGCUUGCAGAGAGUCUUAGUCUCAAUUUUAUGCAAUGCAAUGUCUAUGCAUGGUAUUUAAGUCUGAAAUUGUCAGUAGUCUUUAGUAGCUUGAAAAUCACAAUGAAGAGAACUUGGUUAAAAAUAUUCAUGUAAGUAACUAUGCAAACUGAUUUAAAGUUCAUCAAUUAGUUCAACAUCUACAACCUAUGCAAGAAAAUUAGGCAGUCGAAUGAAAUGCUUAGCAACAAAUUACAGUAGCUUUCCUACGAAGGCCUUUAUUACUUAUAUGCUAAUACGCUUAGGACUGUUAUUUUAUAAUCAGUUCCACAAACGAGCUAUAAAGAUUUAUGUUACCUUCUCAAAAAGAAAAAGGAGCUAUGAAGAUUUUCCAUGACUUCAUAAUUCAAGUUAGUUCUUGACAUAGUCUAAUGAAGAUGGUAAUAUUGUAGCCUUCCAGUUAUAGAAUAUAUGCUAAAAUUGUGGGACUGCACAAAAAAUUAAGGAUGACCAAACCCCUCUCUCUCUCUCUGUACCUAUUUAAUUUCUCCUAUAUGAACGCUUUCCUACAUACCAUUUGGUUUGGCAUUGCCAAAAAUCAUACACAAUAAAUAAUUAACAUCACAGUUAGUAUGGCAGGAUAGAUUAUCAAAUAUUAUAGUGAAUAUAGCUUGUAAUAUUUAGGUACCUUAACUAAUAUUGUAAGGAGAAGUUUCAAAGGAGAUACUUAGAAUGAAUUUUGCUCUGUAAAACUUUGCACUUGAACUUUUUCGAAUUAAAGUGUAUAGGUGUUUUGUGCAUUUGUAGUUUUUUAAGUUGGUAAGACAUCAAAUGACAAUGGAUUGUACAAUAUAGUAAUAUGAACGCGUGUUUUCUAUUGCCCUUAUACUAAAUAUAAUACAUUUUAAUUCUAAAAACCUAUUCCCUGAUUUCAAACACAUACUUUCUUGAAAAGCUAGAGAUCAUCCUGUUAACAAGAACGUCGCAGCAUUUUUUAUGAUUCGAUGGAGAAAUUGCUCUUGUGAUGAGACUUUUUUUUGUUUCUACACAAGAUUAGAAUGUUAAAUCUCUUGUUUGUUUAAACAAGAAUGAUAGUCUUUCAACUAACAAACUCUCCACAGAAUAGGCAACUUGAGAGACUUCUUCUGUUAUAUUCUUUUACACUUGAAAGCUUUUCUAUUGAUUGUUUAUAGUUAGUGUAUAUUUUGUUCAGUUAGAGGAAUAAUGUUCUACUGGAGCUUUGAAGUUUCAAGCAUUUCUUUGCAUUACUACAGAGGUUAUGAAAUAUUUCUCUAAGCCUUUUUCCUGUCAAAAUUUUUGUUUAGAGGUUGAAACCUUGAUUGUUCUACCUUAUCAAAAGUGAAACCUUGAAUGCUUUAGCUGGUUCUGUAGUAAACUGAUCUGUGCAUGAAUAAAUUUCUUUUUAUAUGUUGUGUGGGCUUGACAUGAAUUGACAGCUGAAUUUGUUCGAGGCACAAGCUAUGGUCUAAAAGUAGCAAUUUGAGCAAAAAACAAAACCCUUAUUAGUGAUCAUUACAUGUAAUCAAUUGCUUAUACCAUAAAACUUCUUAGAGGUGGGAAAGCAUUUUGAAUGUUGUUCAAUAAUUCAAUUUAGCACUAACGAAUUCCAUAUUGGCUUGCUCAAUACUUAUACAUACGUGUCAAGUAUCACUUGAUUUGUCAUAUUACAAUUAUUAGCUAAUGGCACUUGGUUCUGUUACAUGAUAACAGGAGCUACCAAUGAAUGAAAGAAAAAUAAGUUCAUUUUGUCAUAUUAACUGUGUUUCCAUGUUAUGUUUAAGAGAUUACAGAGGAUGCAUCGAUGAUGCCUAACAUAAAGUGAAAACUUACAGUUUUCUCUCUUUGAUGUUUGGGAUAGGGAUCUGUCGUUAAAUUUCUUUUGUGGGAAAACACUAUUCUUUGACUAUAUUUUUUAUUAGCAGAGUUGUUUGAAGGCUAGAAUUAAAUUGUGGCUGACAUGAAAUUCACAUAUGAUGCUAUCGGCCAGCAUUAUCGGAAUCAAAAGCGAAGACGUGUUCUGAGCUUUGUGGUCAAAUAUGUUUGUAGUGUUUCCAAAGAAACAAGGAGAAAAAGAUACAAGAAGAUUGAUUCUUCUGCAUUCGAAGGGACUCAAUGAUUUGGUGAAAUCAAUUUCCUUCUUAACAUGUGCAACAAUCUCUCUCUCCGUGUUGCAUGUAUAUUGAUGAAGUUGAAGAAUUUAAAGUGGAAAAAAUGAAGAGGUUUAUAAAAGUGGUAGUUAUGUCGGCCAGUUUAGCAUUGUUAUUAAUCUUAGAUAUUAAUUGUUUUUUAUGCUUAAUGGAACAGACAAAGAAUGAGUUUGCACCAAAUUAUAGUCAUUCUAGAAUAGUUAUUCCUCCUACUACUCCUUGUGAUGCAGCAAACCACUGCGGCUAGAUGCCUAGAUUGCCAGAUGCAUCAAACGCUCAUAAAGCUCUAGUCCGUAGAGUCCUAAGAGACAUGGUUAUGUGUUCCCUGGGCAGAGUUCAAGUGUACAACAUGAUAGAACUUAUACAAAAAAGAUGAAUAUACUUGCUUGGUUAAGAAAAGUGAAAGCUAACAGAGCAAAUUUUUAAUUUUAAUUUUUAUAGGGGGCGUUGUAUAUACCAUCACCAUCAUAGUUUAAAAAAACUAAAUACUAACAAGUGGGCCCGUGCAUAGACUAAAUACUUAUCUAACAUGUAGGCACGUGCCAUGCACGGGCAUCACCUCUCUAGUCUGUUAAUAUGUGGACCAAAG
Molecule: long non-coding RNA, 3931 nt
Filed under: Nicotiana tabacum (common tobacco)
Lineage: Eukaryota; Viridiplantae; Streptophyta; Magnoliopsida; Solanales; Solanaceae
Description: long non-coding RNA (NTAB_LNC004932)
Source: RNAcentral